RNAcentral lists this ribosomal RNA (913 nucleotides) under uncultured marine archaeon. Its description in RNAcentral is "bacterial SSU rRNA". It matches the Rfam family "Archaeal small subunit ribosomal RNA", at positions 1 to 922 of the family's 1478-position model. The record is from RNAcentral.
UUCCGGUUGAUCCUGCCGGACCUGACUGCUAUCGGAUUGAUACUAAGCCAUGCGAGUCUUUGCAGUAAUGCAAGGCAUACGGCUCAGUAACACGUAGUCAACUUACCCUAUGGACGAGGAUAAUCUCGGGAAACUGAGCAUAAUACUCGAUAGAUCAUAAUGCCUGGAAUGGUUUAUGGUUAAAAUGAUUCGUCGCCAUAGGAUGGGACUGCGGCCUAUCAGCUUGUUGGUGAGGUAAUGGCCCACCAAGGCGAUUACAGGUACGGGCUCUGAGAGGAGAAGCCCGGAGAUGGGUACUGAGACAAGGACCCAGGCCCUAUGGGGCGCAGCAGGCGAGAAAACUUUGCAAUGUGCGAAAGCACGACAAGGUUAAUCCGAGUGAUUUCUGCUAAAGAAAUCUUUUGCAAGUCAUAAAACCACUAGUGAAUAAGGGGUGGGCAAGUUCUGGUGUCAGCCGCCGCGGUAAAACCAGCACCUCAAGUGGUCAGGAGGAUUAUUGGGCCUAAAGCAUCCGUAGCCGGCUCUGUAAGUUUUCGGUUAAAUCCAUGUGCUCAACGCAUGGGCUGCCGAAAAUACUGCAUAGCUAGGGAGUGGGAGAGGUAGACGGUACUCGGUAGGAAGGGGUAAAAUCCUUUGAUCUAUCGAUGACCACCUGUGGCGAAGGCGGUCUACCAGAACACGUUCGACGGUGAGGGAUGAAGCUGGGGGAGCAAACCGGAUUAGAUACCCGGGUAGUCCCAGCUGUAAACGAUGCAGACUCGAUGAUGCAUUGGCUUAUUGCCAAUGCAGUGUCGCAGGGAAGCCGUUAAGUCUGCCGCCUGGGAAGUACGUACGCAAGUAUGAAACUUAAAGGAAUUGGCGGGGGAGCACCACAAGGGGUGAAGCCUGCGGUUCAAUUGGAGUCAACGCCGGG